RNAcentral lists this ribosomal RNA (490 nucleotides) under uncultured bacterium. Its description in RNAcentral is "partial 16S ribosomal RNA". It matches the Rfam family "Bacterial small subunit ribosomal RNA", at positions 30 to 507 of the family's 1533-position model. The record is from RNAcentral.
AUUGAACGCUGGCGGCAGGCCUAACACAUGCAAGUCGAACGGUAACAGGAAGAAGCUUGCUUCUUUGCUGACGAGUGGCGGACGGGUGAGUAAUGUCUGGGAAACUGCCUGAUGGAGGGGGAUAACUACUGGAAACGGUAGCUAAUACCGCAUAAUGUCGCAAGACCAAAGAGGGGGACCUUCGGGCCUCUUGCCAUCGGAUGUGCCCAGAUGGGAUUAGCUAGUAGGUGGGGUAACGGCUCACCUAGGCGACGAUCCCUAGCUGGUCUGAGAGGAUGACCAGCCACACUGGAACUGAGACACGGUCCAGACUCCUACGGGAGGCAGCAGUGGGGAAUAUUGCACAAUGGGCGCAAGCCUGAUGCAGCUAUGCCGCGUGUAUGAAGAAGGCCUUCGGGUUGUAAAGUACUUUCAGCGGGGAGGAAGGGAGUGAAGUUAAUACCUUUGCUCAUUGACGUUACCCGCAGAAGAAGCACCGGCUAACUCCGUG